This 627-nucleotide ribosomal RNA is filed under the name Pleroma urvilleanum (princess flower). RNAcentral describes it as "eukaryotic LSU rRNA". The stretch from base 250 to 405 matches the Rfam family "5.8S ribosomal RNA". The record is from RNAcentral. Lineage: Eukaryota; Viridiplantae; Streptophyta; Magnoliopsida; Myrtales; Melastomataceae.
UCGAAAUCGAACGGAAGAACGACCCGCGAACCGUCUUUGCGUAACGAACCGAGCUCGCGAGCAGCAAACGCUCGCGCGUCUCGUGUCGCGUCGGCGCGGUCCUCGAAAGGGCCACGCCGCACCGACAAACUAACAAUGUCAGCACGGAUCGUGCCAAGGAGCUGUACAUGCGAGAGUCGCCGUCCCACGCCCCCGGUCCCCCUCGACUGGGGGCGGGUGACAUGCGCGAUCUCCGCUCUUAGUCUUAAUGACUCUCGGCAACGGAUAUCUCGGCUCUUGCAUCGAUGAAGAACAUAGCGAAAUGCGAUACUUGGUGUGAAUUGCAGAAUCCCGCGAACCAUCAAUUCUUUGAACGCAAGUUGCGCCCGAAGCCAUCCGGCCGAGGGCACGCCUGCCUGGGUGUCGUGAAUCCCCUUGCCCCCGGGCACCCGCACGAGCAUCGUCGCGGAUAUGCCCGGGCGCAGAAUAUGGUCUCCCGUCGGAUCGGCGUGCGCUGCACGUCGUGGGGCGGUUGGCCGAAAAUCGAGCAUUGCGACGUCGGGCUCCACGGCGUUCGGUGGAUCGAACGCGAUUGGCUGCGCCGUGGUCCCGUCAUGCCGCGGGCUCCGGACUACGACGAUUCCCGUG